GGGGAAUAUUGCACAAUGGGCGAAAGCCUGAUGCAGCAACGCCGCGUGAGCGAUGAAGGCCUUUGGGUCGUAAAGCUCUGUCCUUGGGGAAGAAACAAAUGACGGUACCCUUGGAGGAAGCCCCGGCUAACUACGUGCCAGCAGCCGCGGUAAUACGUAGGGGGCGAGCGUUAUCCGGAAUUAUUGGGCGUAAAGAGUGCGUAGGUGGCCAUGUAAGCGCGGGGUGAAAGGCAAUAGCUUAACUAUUGUAAGCCUUGCGAACUGUAUGGCUUGAGUGCAGGAGAGGAAAGUGGAAUUCCUAGUGUAGUGGUGAAAUGCGUAGAUAUUAGGAGGAACACCAGUGGCGAAGGCGACUUUCUGGACUGUAACUGACACUGAGGCACGAAAGCGUGGGGAGCAAAC
This 402-nucleotide ribosomal RNA is filed under the name uncultured bacterium. Its description in RNAcentral is "bacterial SSU rRNA". It matches the Rfam family "Bacterial small subunit ribosomal RNA", at positions 356 to 773 of the family's 1533-position model. The record is from RNAcentral.